GACGCUAAAGCAUUUUCCCCCUGCAGAGCAUGUUGCAACAUUUAUCAGUCACACUGAGAAUCCAGAAGAUGAAGGAAAAGGUCACGUCGUUCGCUGAGAACUUACCGAAGUUGAACUCCCUCACUUUCCGCUUCCCAGCAUUGGCGGGUUCCGGGACUGGUGGCUGCGGUAGCUCAUUGGCCUUUGGUCUCUUAGACGGUGGAGAAUAAUCAUCAUCUUGAAAAAGAAAAUGGUCAUUACUGGAAGAACCGUCUUACAGUUACAGUCACCUCCUGGUCAAUUCCCAACAUUCAAAAGCUAAAGAAACAGGCUCAGAGGAUGUUAUCUGAUUGGAUUAUGUUGUAUCUCUGGAGAGCACAGCUGAGAUCAGACUGUGUGUGUGUAACUCCACUAGACUACGAGGGUGCUUCUCAUAAAGAGAUCCUAAAAAACCUACAGUACCAGCUGCAGUAAGUGUGCCACGUGUGGUCAUGGUUGCAAGAUCAUAGUUCUCGGGGUGUUUAAAGGCAACACCUUCCGGAAGCCCCUGCACUACCACAGCCGACUGGUCUCGCAGCAUCUUCUCAUAUGGUACAGGUACCACUGUGGAUUUGCCUAAAGCUUUCCCUGGGGGAGAUGAAAAGCGGAUGAACAUCAUUCAAUGAAUGGUAAGAUUACAAAAUGAAAUCAUCGCUAGCUUAUUGUGGCUUAAUAAGGGCAUCCACGAUUUUUUAUAAUAUAUGAUUUCAAAAUUAAUUAAUACUACAGCAUUCUAUCUCCCCAUGUCAGCA
RNAcentral lists this non-coding RNA (770 nucleotides) under Pan troglodytes (chimpanzee). Lineage: Eukaryota; Metazoa; Chordata; Mammalia; Primates; Hominidae. The record is from RNAcentral.